RNAcentral lists this transfer RNA (73 nucleotides) under Ailuropoda melanoleuca (giant panda). It matches the Rfam family "tRNA". From Rfam's summary of the family: Transfer RNA (tRNA) molecules are approximately 80 nucleotides in length. Lineage: Eukaryota; Metazoa; Chordata; Mammalia; Carnivora; Ursidae. The record is from Rfam by way of RNAcentral.
ACCUGGCUGGCCCAGUUGGUAGAGCGUGGGACUCUUGAUCUCAGAGUUGUGGGUUUGAGCCCCACAUUGGGUG